AUCAGCAGUCCCAUACAGGUGCCCUAGCCAAGAUCAUACUUAUGGAUGCUGAAAAACCAGUUCUUAUUACACUACAGCCUAAACUUAAAUUCUUCAUCAGGUAUGUCAAUGACGACAUCACAGUAUGGGAAGACAAAACUAUGGUAGAUGAAUUCAUAGAAGUUCUGACACUGCCAGUCUAUGGUCUCACACUGAAGAAAGACCAAGUCAGCAAGCAGGAGGUGCAUACGAGGCUAAAUAAGUUCACUCGAAUGGCAGUUGUAUAAACUUAAACUUCUUUCAUUUUCCUUAACGUUUUCGACAAAUUACAAUUUUGUCAUCUUCAGAGGUUAACAACAAAGAACAUAAUGAACUCAUUUAGCC
RNAcentral lists this long non-coding RNA (363 nucleotides) under Androctonus crassicauda. The record is from RNAcentral. Lineage: Eukaryota; Metazoa; Arthropoda; Arachnida; Scorpiones; Buthidae.